Molecule: ribosomal RNA, 692 nt
Filed under: uncultured Serratia sp.
Lineage: Bacteria; Pseudomonadati; Pseudomonadota; Gammaproteobacteria; Enterobacterales; Yersiniaceae
Description: bacterial SSU rRNA
Rfam family: Bacterial small subunit ribosomal RNA
Source: RNAcentral
GGUAGUCCACGUCGUAAACGAUGUCGACUUGGAGGUUGUUCCCUUGAGGAGUGGCUUCCGGAGCUAACGCGUUAAGUCGACCGCCUGGGGAGUACGGCCGCAAGGUUAAAACUCAAAUGAAUUGACGGGGGCCCGCACAAGCGGUGGAGCAUGUGGUUUAAUUCGAUGCAACGCGAAGAACCUUACCUACUCUUGACAUCCAGAGAACUUAGCAGAGAUGCUUUGGUGCCUUCGGGAACUCUGAGACAGGUGCUGCAUGGCUGUCGUCAGCUCGUGUUGUGAAAUGUUGGGUUAAGUCCCGCAACGAGCGCAACCCUUAUCCUUUGUUGCCAGCGGUUAGGCCGGGAACUCAAAGGAGACUGCCAGUGAUAAACUGGAGGAAGGUGGGGAUGACGUCAAGUCAUCAUGGCCCUUACGAGUAGGGCUACACACGUGCUACAAUGGCGCAUACAAAGAGAAGCGACCUCGCGAGAGCAAGCGGACCUCAUAAAGUGCGUCGUAGUCCGGAUUGGAGUCUGCAACUCGACUCCAUGAAGUCGGAAUCGCUAGUAAUCGUAGAUCAGAAUGCUACGGUGAAUACGUUCCCGGGCCUUGUACACACCGCCCGUCACACCAUGGGGAGUGGGUUGCAAAAGAAGUAGGUAGCUUAACCUUCGGGAGGGCGCUUACCACUUUGUGAUUCAUGACUGGGG